Lepisosteus oculatus (spotted gar) is the source of this 319-nucleotide long non-coding RNA. RefSeq lists it as uncharacterized. The record is from RefSeq and is a predicted model, not a curated record. Lineage: Eukaryota; Metazoa; Chordata; Actinopteri; Semionotiformes; Lepisosteidae.
CGGGGCUCUUCUUCAUGGCUGGAGCCGACCUCCGCUACUCCCACAUUAGAGUUAACCUGCCUGGUACAGGGGAUGGAGAUGCACCGGUUCAAGAGAAGUAGCACCCUAUUCAAAAGGCAUUUUGCGGCCAAAACCCAGUUGAGGAAAUCGACGAAGGAAGAGAGGCCUGCACCCCAUUCGCAGAGAAUCAAACACAGCGGUGAAAUUUAGGGCGGAAGCAAGUAUCUUCACAGAAACAUAAAAUUCUUUACAACUGAACAUCCCUGAAUACAAGGGAUAUGUAUUACUAUUUCUGUCUAUAAAUAUAUUUUAACCCUCA